GUUGAAGAACGCAGCGAAAUGCGAUAAGUAAUGUGAAUUGCAGAAUCCAGUGAAUCAUCGAAUCUUUGAACGCACAUUGCGCCCGCCAGCAUUCUGGCGGGCAUGCCUGUUCGAGCGUCAUUUCAACCCUCGACCUCCCUUUGGGGAAGUCGGCGUUGGGGACCGGCAGCACACCGCCGGCCCUGAAAUGGAGUGGCGGCCCGUCCGCGGCGACCUCUGCGUAGUAAACCAACUCGCACCGGAACCCCGACGUGGCCACGCCGUAAAACACCUAACUUCUGAACGUUGACCUCGAAUCAGGUAGGACUACCCGCUGAACUUAAGCAUAUCAAUAAGCGGAGGA
Molecule: unclassified non-coding RNA, 343 nt
Filed under: soil metagenome
Description: partial contains 5.8S ribosomal RNA, internal transcribed spacer 2, and large subunit ribosomal RNA
Rfam family: 5.8S ribosomal RNA (bases 1-120)
Source: RNAcentral